GCAUUGGUGGUUCAGUGGUAGAAUUCUUGCCUGCCACGUGGGAGACCCGGGUCCGAUUCCCGGCCAAUGCA
This 71-nucleotide transfer RNA is filed under the name Danionella translucida. It matches the Rfam family "tRNA". Rfam says of the family: Transfer RNA (tRNA) molecules are approximately 80 nucleotides in length. Their secondary structure includes four short double-helical elements and three loops (D, anti-codon, and T loops). Further hydrogen bonds mediate the characteristic L-shaped molecular structure. tRNAs have two regions of fundamental functional importance: the anti-codon, which is responsible for specific mRNA codon recognition, and the 3' end, to which the tRNAs corresponding amino acid is attached (by aminoacyl-tRNA synthetases). tRNAs cope with the degeneracy of the genetic code in two manners: having more than one tRNA (with a specific anti-codon) for a particular amino acid; and 'wobble' base-pairing, i.e. permitting non-standard base-pairing at the 3rd anti-codon position. The record is from Rfam by way of RNAcentral. Lineage: Eukaryota; Metazoa; Chordata; Actinopteri; Cypriniformes; Danionidae. RNAcentral also lists the same sequence under 1 other name.